AGACACUGAUAAAAAGCCAGCUAGGUGUCGUUAUAAUAAUCAGUCAAGCGUAUUUCUCACUCGUGAUCUAACGAUGACCUGGAAGGUUUUUGGAGUGCUUGUCCUGCUCGCUGUUCUUGGAUUCCCGGGCCUAACUCAGGGCCAAGUUUAUCAUUGUAUUUUGAACCCUUCAAAGUGCAGCAAAGAGGGGUUACAAGAUGUCCCGGAUCUUUCACCGCAGAUUCCUCUGAGCGAAUACAGACGAAACAAGCUUUCGCGAUUGGAAGAAUUCCUGCGAAAGAAACGAAACCGCGUUUAUGACGAUGCCGUGCUGAAUGAGGAAUAGUCGUGUAGCAACCAAUCUUGUUAAUAGGAAAGGGAAUCGUGCCGCUCGUAAAUGAAAACUAAAUAUUAUUACCUAGAGCUAAAUUUGUUACACAUCAAGCUGGUAAACAAGUUUUAACCAUUAAUUAAAGAGAGAAAAAUAUAAUGUC
RNAcentral lists this long non-coding RNA (473 nucleotides) under Stylophora pistillata. Its description in RNAcentral is "uncharacterized LOC111319630". Lineage: Eukaryota; Metazoa; Cnidaria; Anthozoa; Scleractinia; Pocilloporidae. The record is from RNAcentral.